RNAcentral lists this long non-coding RNA (1760 nucleotides) under Ananas comosus (pineapple). RNAcentral's name for it is "long non-coding RNA (ACOM_LNC031992)". The record is from RNAcentral. Lineage: Eukaryota; Viridiplantae; Streptophyta; Magnoliopsida; Poales; Bromeliaceae.
ACGGCUCGAAUCGUCUUUCUCCAUGUUCAUUGGCCUUCGAAGUGGAUGCCCUUCAGUAAGUUCUUCAAAUCCAUAGCAAUGAAUGUCGAUAUAUCUGAGUAUUUGCUUUUCAUAUACGCACACCUGCUGCAGCAGAAACAUAAGCUUACAAAUUGGAUCUUUCGCUGAAACAUACUGGCUACUGCUUCUGUUCCAAAGCCAACAUAAAAGAGCUAAAUGAUUUCAAAUUCUAGGAAACAUCUCUUACGUGACUUAGCAGAAAAGGCGUUCCGAUAAAAGAUCAGCUGCUGAUAUUUGUUAUUUCAGUAGACUAAUUGAAACUUUUCGCUGUUCCUUUUGCUAUCAGACAAAAACGUUAAGAAAUUAUUGAUGAUAUUGCUGAUUAGAUUCUUUUACAACACCUGCAGUGGGCGGUAAAGUUUCACACAAGUUAGCAAAUGAACAAGAGCAGGAAUUGCACAGAAGAAAUGAGAGGAACGAAAUGCUCAAAUUGAUGUGUCGGUACAAACGCAUCUGUACGAGAAGAAAGGUACUAUCUAUUGUUUGCUUUGCACGAGAAUUUCUUCUAUUACCAAACAUACUCUUCGUAUAAACUUGACGCAUUGGUUGCGUUCAAAAACAACUAAUUUUUUCUAUUAUGAUACCAGAGGAAGAGAUUUGUACGUGAGGCUAACAUUUACUUGUAAAUACGCAGGUGAAGUUAGAGUACGUAAAUGAUGAAAAUGUUCUAAGAGGUAUUAUAAAUCUUGUGAAAACAUUUCGAGUAAAGAGAUUGGUUACAGCUUCAAGGUAAUAUGAAAUUAAAGACGUUAUGUUCCUAUGGUUCUUGCUUUUCAGCUUUCUAAAUUUAGGCAUGCGCAAUUGAUAUUUGUUAAGACGAAAAGGAAGUAAAAUUCAUGCUUUCCUGGCAUCCAUUGAUCGGUUAACUCUCUAAACUUAAAUAUGACGAAAGUGCGCGGUAAGGCAAAUACACUCACCUGAUCUUACUGGGUUCAGAAACUCGAAUGAGAUGAUGAGUUGACAUGCAGAUCCAUGUCGAAGCAAGCUGAACUGCUCGAAUGCUGCCAGAUAUGGCUGGUCCGCGAUGGAAAUCACAUCUCCACCAGGUAGGCUCGAUAUUCAAAAGAGCAGCCAUUGCUCCAAAUUAGUUGCUCUCAAUUUCUUGUUUUCUUUCUUCAUCCAGACUGUCACCAAAACUUUUUUCAGUACAAGGGACUAUAUGCAGAGAAUUCAGUUUUUCAAAGGUCAUAAAUAGAAAUCCAGAAUUGCAGAAAGAUAGUAUAUGAGUUUCUCACAGGCGUAUAAAUGAAACUUUCAACAUUUCUUGUGCAGCGGAGCUAUUCGAGAAGAUACUGAGACAAAAGUUGAGAAUGAAGAAAGUCAAGAAUUGUCUAUACCUGCACUGGAGCCAUUAACCAAUGAAUCUGAAGCAUACGCAGCGAAUGAAUCUGAAGCAUACGCAACGCCGUCGAGUGAUCUGGUGCCGACUUAUCAUUAGCUAUCCUCUAAAGAGAAUACCAUAAGCACCGCUUGUCACAAACAUUACGUGUAUGAUGAAAAGGAAAAAAUAAUCAUGAUUUAAAACUCCGGAUUUUGAGAAGCUUCUAAUUUUUGGAGUAGCGAAGCAAUUCCAAAAUGCAGGCUAAACAGUGGAGUAUGCUCACGUAGCAAACUCCACAUCACGGAAGCUGAUGGAAACAUUAUGUGCGAGGAUUGAAUAAAACUUAAUCACAACCAUCUUAUAAAUCUGAUUAUGCAGG